CAACACUCACCCGGCAAAGGCUAGCCACCAGCCGGAAGCGAGCAUUGCGUAGUCGUUCCGUAAGGGCGGCACGAAGCGUAUGCAGCGAGUACCGAAGCCGCACUAUUCACCCUCGAAAAUUUCUUGAUCGUUGGGGUCUUCCUUAUCAUGCAAUGGGGGACAGCAUCGCAUUGGCCGCUACGGCAAUGGCCAGUGAGGCCCGACCGGGGUCCGAGACUG
Molecule: non-coding RNA, 219 nt
Organism: Phycisphaerae bacterium SG8_4
Lineage: Bacteria; Pseudomonadati; Planctomycetota; Phycisphaerae
Source: Rfam